Molecule: long non-coding RNA, 1427 nt
Filed under: Setaria viridis
Lineage: Eukaryota; Viridiplantae; Streptophyta; Magnoliopsida; Poales; Poaceae
Description: long non-coding RNA (SVIR_LNC002911)
Source: RNAcentral
UUUGAUGUAAAUUUAGGAGUUACUAUAUAUUAUUUAUAUAAGGUCAUUACUUGAUGCUUUAGAUGAGGAGUUAUAUAGUUAUUUUUUAUAGUGGUGGAUGUUGGUAAUUAUUUUAGGAAAUAUAAUCGAUUGAUGGUUGUUAUUGUAGAAGAACAAACUACACAGAUGAUCCUCAAACUUCAAACUUGUUCGUGGAUGACACCUAGCUCCUCGAACUAGCAAUUUGCAGAUCUAGGUCCCUAAAUUUACUAAGUGGUUCACUCAAGAUUCAAUGUAUGUAUUCAACUUCAAUAUGCCUACUUGGCCUCCAUGUGGAAUCCAUAUCAUUUAAUUUUUUUCAACUUGUCAUACAUAUAAUUUUUUUUUCCAAAUAACAACCAAUGAAAAAAAUACAUCACGACAUGUAUGCCAUAUGCUAACUUCUUUCUUAUUUUCUCUGUCGAUGGUCGGGAAGAGAGCUCCAAGUCACUCCUGAUGGGUGGAGUAAGAGAGAUGGCCAUAUUUCUAUAGGUAAUCAUGUGUUAGUUGUUGAUAUUUAGUGCUCAAGUGAUAUAACAAGUUUAAGUAACGUCCCAAACAAGUUUGAAGACCGGAGAUACACUUUACCAAAACUACUAACGAGCUUAAUGAUGGAUGAUGUGUAGCUCAAAGAAAUAGAAGUUGAACCUACAAGUGGAAAUGAUGAUGAUUGACUUUGUAGACAUUGACUAUGAUAUUUAAGAUGGAGAUGAUCACCUUUUUUGGAGAAAUAUGGAUGGAGGUGUGAUUGAUGAAGAUGCUGCCAAAGGCAAAAAAUUGAAAGCUGCGAAAAGAUAUCUGUAGUAAACUCAAAUGAUAGGCUGCGGGUUAGAGAAUGUUGACAAUGGGGAUGGAACUUUCUACAUAUGAGGAAUGAUUGCAGCUUCUAAAUUUAGAUGAUGAAGGACUAAGUAGUAAGAGGUUUAAAGGUUUUAGGUAACAGGACUAGGAGAAUUUUACAUUCAUGGUGGGCAAACACUUGAAACAGAUGAGGUCCUGAGGAAAGCAAUAAUUGAAUGCAAUAUUUGGGAUAGAGUAGCUAUCUUAAUGCGUAUUGUGCAGAAGGAUGCCUAUGGGCUAGCACGAUAGAUGGUACUUACGGAAUUGGGUAGGGACGGGGGAGGCUAGGGGUUCGAAGGGAAGGCUUGAUGUCUGCGGAAGGAAGGGGUGAAGGGGGUAAGGAGAAAGUAGGAGUUCAUCUCAACGACCCAAAUGCAUUAAUCACCAACAACAUCAAAAACCUACCAAAUCUAGGAUGAACAUGCCACGCUUGAUCUAAUCCCACGUGUAGCUAAUUUGGACGCCGAGUAUUUAGAGCGUGUUUGGGACUGCUCCGCUCCAGAAAAAAUAGCUCCACUCCACCAACUUCACCUUUUUUUAGCUCCACUCCACCAACUCUAGGAAAAUAG